Molecule: ribosomal RNA, 254 nt
Filed under: uncultured bacterium
Lineage: Bacteria
Description: partial 16S ribosomal RNA
Rfam family: Bacterial small subunit ribosomal RNA
Source: RNAcentral
CACGUAGGGGGCGAGCGUUGUCCGGAUUCAUUGGGCGUAAAGAGCUCGUAGGCGGCUCAGUAAGUCGGGUGUGAAACCCUCAGGCUCAACCUGGGGACGCCACUCGAUACUGCUGUGGCUAGAGUCCAGUAGAGGAGUGUGGAAUUCCCGGUGUAGCGGUGAAAUGCGCAGAUAUCUGGAGGAACACCGGUGGCGAAGGCGGCAUCCUGGACCAAUAUUGACGCUGAGGAGCGAAAGCCAGGGGAGCAAACGGG